Long non-coding RNA from Harpegnathos saltator (Jerdon's jumping ant), 1559 nucleotides. RefSeq lists it as uncharacterized. Lineage: Eukaryota; Metazoa; Arthropoda; Insecta; Hymenoptera; Formicidae. The transcript is spliced from 7 exons. The record is from RefSeq and is a predicted model, not a curated record.
CAUUGGAACGUUGAAAACUACCUGCAGCAUCUCCCAGGUCGGACUAAGACUCUGUACCGUGCCCGUCGGACUGUGACUCGUUUCCGUUUCCAUCUGCUCUAUCGGAUACUCUGUCGUGGGUUGCAGUCGUGCGUUCCAAACCAACUCCUUAUAGUAAAACGAGGAGAACGAGAGAAUACGAGGGCGCGCGAAUUAAGCUGAAUUACUUACCUGACAUUCCUCGGCGGACAUUAAUAUCUGCAGGAGAGAAGGUUGCGACGCCAAGGAGACAGUCGUGGCCGCCUGAUAGAGAGUCGUGGUCGUGCGAGGGUGCGGUAAGACCAGCGGUACGGGGGAUGGUGAUUCCUCCGGCGGUUUCUGUACCAGCGCCAUCGGUCGUGGGACGUACGGAGGAGCGAGUGCUGGUCUUAAUCGAUCAUUGUGCACCGGACCUCCAGAAUGAGGGGACAAUUGUGUGACAAUCGACGAUUGUUGCUGAUGUUGCUUCUCCGAGAUAAUCGAAUGGGGCUUCGGUUUCCUCGGUCCGCGUUCAUGUUGUACUGCUAAACAUCAGCAGUCAGCGAUCUCGAAGGCUAAUCCCCGAGCGAGUGGGGUUGAUACACAUGGACGAGACACACUACCACUAUCGUUGCUAUCACCAUCACCGCCAACGCUAUCACCGACACGUCGGCGAUCGUCAACGUCAUCGCCGUCGAAGGAGAAUGGGGCGAUUCGCGAAUCGCUUGUCGAAUACGUGUGUAGGAUACUGCGAUACAUGUGUUAACACUUCAGGGAGAUUUUCGUGUUGAUUUGAGAGAUGCGCAUCAAGGGGUAGGCCAAGGUCCGCUUUACCGUUUACCGUUUAUGUGGAUGGAUUGAUGCUGCCCGUCGCGUGUACGGCACGCCUCGCUUCGUUGCGUUACCAGCCGUCCACUCUCACGCGACUCCCCCUGUAUGCUGUCACUACCCUCAACCUCCAUCCAGGGCCGAACGAGUACAUCGCGGGGUCCCGAAUAGCGAAUAUUUUCUUGGAGGACCCGACAGAAAUACAUCUAGGUGAUACAUGAUAAUUUAGACGCGAUAAAAAGACGCUCGCCGGAGAAAGAUGGUUGUUGCACGUCCUACGAAAUGUGGCCUGGUUGAUCAAAUGAGACAUCGGGGAAAACUGAAACGUUGCAUGACGAUGCGCGUUCAUUGUGACACCAUCGCGAUUAAUGGGUCUACUAUGGAGCUCCCCCCUCCCCCCACGAUAUCAUGCAAUAGAGAGACAUGAGGCACCCUAAUCGUCCUAAUGAUCCGCGGCAAGAAAAACACGGCCAUGCCUAAGCCAACCAAAGCCUUCCUUCCUCGGCCUGGGGUAUCAACCGCCUUCGUCUCACACCCAACCAACCUAACCCGAUCAACCCGGGUUACUUCAACCCCAACGGAUUACUGUCUUCGUCGUGUACACCGUGAGGCCUUCUUCUUCUUCCCCCUCCUUCUCUUCUGUAUUGCUUACGUCGUUUCGUAUCGCAUAUCCGUCGCUGUCGCACAUUUCUGAAUUUCAAUUCACAUUUCAUCCCCCAAGUACUCGAUCUUAA